Pelobates cultripes (western spadefoot toad) is the source of this 210-nucleotide non-coding RNA. NCBI's taxonomy places the organism in Eukaryota, Metazoa, Chordata, Amphibia, Anura, Pelobatidae. The record is from the annotation of a GenBank genome assembly.
GGUAUAUUUAGUAAACAGUACCAAAAACUCCCCAAUAUUUUGGCUGUUGCCUUCUUCUGGGGGAAGAAUAUUCCCCAGAAGAAGGCAACAGUUGAAUAAGAAGGCAACAGCAGAAUUGUUGGGGAGUUUUUGAUCUCCAUCCCUAGGUUAGUACAUGUGACAUUACAUUUUCUAGGUAAUCGGUUUGUACUUUAUUGAUGUUAACUUUUG